This 492-nucleotide ribosomal RNA is filed under the name uncultured bacterium. Its description in RNAcentral is "partial 16S ribosomal RNA". It matches the Rfam family "Bacterial small subunit ribosomal RNA", at positions 29 to 507 of the family's 1533-position model. The record is from RNAcentral.
AGUGAACGCUGGCGGUAGGCCUAACACAUGCAAGUCGAACGGCAGCACAGUAAGAGCUUGCUCUUACGGGUGGCGAGUGGCGGACGGGUGAGGAAUACAUCGGAAUCUACUUUUUCGUGGGGGAGAACGUAGGGAAACUUACGCUAAUACCGCAUACGACCUACGGGUGAAAGCAGGGGAUCUUCGGACCUUGCGCGAUUGAAUGAGCCGAUGUCGGAUUAGCUAGUUGGCGGGGUAAAGGCCCACCAAGGCGACGAUCCGUAGCUGGUCGGAGAGGAUGAUCAGCCACACUGGAACUGAGACACGGUCCAGACUCCUACGGGAGGCAGCAGUGGGGAAUAUUGGACAAUGGGCGCAAGCCUGAUCCAGCCAUACCGCGUGGGUGAAGAAGGCCUUCGGGUUGUAAAGCCCUUUUGUUGGGAAAGAAAAGCAGCAGGUUAAUACCCCGCUGUUCCGACGGUACCCAAAGAAUAAGCACCGGCUAACUUCGUG